GCCCGGAUGGCGGAACAGGUAGACGCAGUGGGCUUAAACCCCGCGGCUGUUAAUAACAGCGUGUGAGUUCAAAUCUCACUCCGGGCA
RNAcentral lists this transfer RNA (87 nucleotides) under Actinomycetes bacterium. RNAcentral describes it as "Actinobacteria bacterium (marine metagenome) tRNA-Leu". It matches the Rfam family "tRNA". From Rfam's summary of the family: Transfer RNA (tRNA) molecules are approximately 80 nucleotides in length. Their secondary structure includes four short double-helical elements and three loops (D, anti-codon, and T loops). The record is from RNAcentral. Lineage: Bacteria; Bacillati; Actinomycetota; Actinomycetes. RNAcentral also lists the same sequence under 2 other names.